AUUGAACGCUGGCGGCAUGCCUUACACAUGCAAGUCGAACGGCAGCGCGGACUUCGGUCUGGCGGCGAGUGGCGAACGGGUGAGUAAUACAUCGGAACGUACCCUGUUGUGGGGGAUAACUAGUCGAAAGAUUAGCUAAUACCGCGUACGACCUGAGGUGAAAGUGGGGACCGCAAGGCCUCACGCAGCAGGAGCGGCCGAUGUCUGAUUAGCUAGUUGGUGGGGUAAAGGCCCACCAAGGCGACGAUCAGUAGCUGGUCUGAGAGGACGAUCAGCCACACUGGGACUGAGACAGGCCCAGACUCCUACGGGA
RNAcentral lists this ribosomal RNA (313 nucleotides) under uncultured bacterium. RNAcentral's name for it is "bacterial SSU rRNA". It matches the Rfam family "Bacterial small subunit ribosomal RNA", at positions 30 to 346 of the family's 1533-position model. The record is from RNAcentral.